GACGAACGUUGGCGGCGUGCUUAAUACAUGCAAGUCAACCGAAGCAGUGGUAGCAAUAUCGCUGUGGAGGUGGCGCACGGGGGAGUAACACGUAGGUAAUCUGCCUUCAGGUCUGGCAUAACUCCGGGAAACCGGGGCUAAUAGCAGAUGAUGCAGCGGCUCGACAUCGAGACAGUUGUUAAAGCUAUGGCGCCUGAAGAGGAGCCUGCGUCUGAUUAGCUAGUUGGCGGGGUAACGGCCCACCAAGGCAACGAUCAGUAGCUGGUCUGAGAGGAUGAUCAGCCACACUGGAACUGAGACACGGUCCAGACUCCUACGGGAGGCAGCAGUAAGGAAUAUUGCUCAAUGGGAGAAAUCCUGAAGCAGCAACGCCGCGUGAGGGACGAAGGGCUUUUGCUUGUAAACCUCUGUAGUGAGAGAAAAAAAUCCCAAUCUUUGGGACAUGAUGGUAUCUCAAAAGUAAGCCCCGGCUAACUACGUG
This 481-nucleotide ribosomal RNA is filed under the name uncultured bacterium. RNAcentral's name for it is "partial 16S ribosomal RNA". It matches the Rfam family "Bacterial small subunit ribosomal RNA", at positions 28 to 507 of the family's 1533-position model. The record is from RNAcentral.